This 465-nucleotide ribosomal RNA is filed under the name Vreelandella stevensii. RNAcentral describes it as "partial 16S ribosomal RNA". It matches the Rfam family "Bacterial small subunit ribosomal RNA", at positions 338 to 795 of the family's 1533-position model. The record is from RNAcentral. Lineage: Bacteria; Pseudomonadati; Pseudomonadota; Gammaproteobacteria; Oceanospirillales; Halomonadaceae.
CCUACGGGGGGCAGCAGUGGGGAAUAUUGGACAAUGGGCGAAAGCCUGAUCCAGCCAUGCCGCGUGUGUGAAGAAGGCCUUCGGGUUGUAAAGCACUUUCAGUGGGGAAGAAAGCCUUGGGGCUAAUACCCUCGAGGAAGGACAUCACCCACAGAAGAAGCACCGGCUAACUCCGUGCCAGCAGCCGCGGUAAUACGGAGGGUGCGAGCGUUAAUCGGAAUUACUGGGCGUAAAGCGCGCGUAGGCGGUCUGAUAAGCCGGUUGUGAAAGCCCCGGGCUCAACCUGGGAACGGCAUCCGGAACUGUCAGGCUAGAGUGCAGGAGAGGAAGGUAGAAUUCCCGGUGUAGCGGCGAAAUGCGUAGAGAUCGGGAGGAAUACCAGUGGCGAAGGCGGCCUUCUGGACUGACACUGACGCUGAGGUGCGAAAGCGUGGGUAGCAAACAGGAUUAGAUACCCUAGUAGUC